Molecule: ribosomal RNA, 217 nt
Filed under: uncultured bacterium
Lineage: Bacteria
Description: partial 16S ribosomal RNA
Rfam family: Bacterial small subunit ribosomal RNA
Source: RNAcentral
UACAGAGGGUGCAAGCGUUGUUCGGAAUUAUUGGGCGUAAAGCGCGUGUAGGCGGCUUGCAAGUCGGGUGUGAAAGCCCUCAGCUCAACUGAGGAAGUGCGCCCGAAACUGCAGAGCUUGAGUACCGGAGAGGAUGGCGGAAUUCCCCAAGUAGAGGUGAAAUUCGUAGAUAUGGGGAGGAACACCGGUGGCGAAGGCGGCCACUCGUGGACGGAGU